Molecule: RNA transcript, 3450 nt
Organism: Lytechinus pictus (painted urchin)
Lineage: Eukaryota; Metazoa; Echinodermata; Echinoidea; Temnopleuroida; Toxopneustidae
Gene name: solute carrier family 45 member 3-like
Exons: 6
Source: RefSeq, a predicted model, not a curated record
AGAUUUGUCACAAUGGUUGAUGCCUACACAUGUGUAAGUGUCAGGCUACACAAUGCUGGACAGUUGUGGGAGUUCUUUGACCUACAUGGGUCUGUGCUUUAGUUGAAAAGAGGAUAGCAAAAGCAAUGCAAUCUUCAUGUGAAAGAUGUCAAGUUCUUCGGAGAGAAUACAAUCUUUGCUGAUCAACAGCACAUGUACAUGUGCCUGAAUAACUUUGUGAUCUGUGACUCCUGCGAGGAGAUGGCAAACAAGAAAACAUGCGAAUUCCUGAGGACGUCAGAAACAAAUUUACAGUGUACAAUUUGUUCUAGACACUUUGAAGUAUUAAACUGAAGCCUGGGCCUUUCAGUGAAAGAAACCAUGGGUCAAUAUUGAUCCUUAAUAUUAAAGAGAGAGAAGUAAAUACCCAUGGGUGUCCUCGUUUGGAGAGUGAGUAAAGAUAUGUUCUAAGAGGGAAAAUGCCAAUAUUUAUUUAUUUCUAUAAAAUAUAUAUAUUUUAGACAACUUCUAUUUAUUGACAAGGAUAAUAGCUGCCUUUGACUGAUCGAUUGCUGUUUUGAUAUGUUCUCCAUAUUGCUUGUGUUGAAGAAAUAUUGACAAAAUGGGAUCUAUUGUGACUGACAGCACAAUCUUCAGCUAUCGCUAUUUGGCAAUGGUGAACAUGAUUACAUUGGGAACUGAGCUCUGCUCAUCUGCGGCCUUCAGUUACCUCCCGCCCUUGCUACUUGAAGCAGGCUUCUCGGAAAGCGGGAUGAGCACCGUGAUGGCCAUGGGACCAUUCAUGGCGCUGUUUUUGCUGCCGGUCAUGGGAACGUCGAGCGAUCGCUGCCGAAGUCGGUUUGGGCGUCGUCGACCUUACAUCGCCUUUCUCUCCGUUGGAAUCAUCCUGUCAUUAAUACUUCUUCCAAACACCAAGGCGAUCACUGCAUACUUCACCUCAUAUUUCCCCGAGAAGCAGUUUGGCUUGAUGUUGCUAGCAGCAUGUGUGGUUCUUCUGGACUUCUGCUCCCAGGUAUGCUACACACCCAUCGAGUCGCUUCUCUCGGACCCCUGUAAAACGGAAACUCAGCGUAACCGCAGCUUCGGUAUAUUCUCACUCAUGAUGUCGUUAGGUGCAUGCCUAGGCUACUGGGUUGUGUCGGUGGAUUGGAAGAACACCCUGUUGGGCUAUUACUUUGGAGGGCAAGAAAGAACGUUGUUCAAUCUACUCCUCAUCCUCUUCACAUUUUCUUUUCUUAUAUCAACUUACUUUGCAUAUGAUCCUCCGUUAUUUGAUGCUGUGCCCAAAGACAUCGCUGAAGCCACCACUGCCAAUGCCCGUCCAACCGUGAAUGGAAAUGCUGCUCUAAAGACUGCCAAUGGCAAAGCCAUAACAACAGUACCAAUGCCGAUAUCAGCAACCUCGCAGGCACUACCCUUCCGCAUCGCUUCCACGAUCUCCGUGAAGAACGUGUGCUCGUCUCUUUUCUCGUACAUUCCUAGACCAAAGAUUGACUUAAGUCCUAUCGCUGAUACCCUGGAGGGUAUACGGACAAUGCCAAAGGCCAUGAAAACGCUUUGGCUCGCUCAUCUAACAACAUCCACGGCGGUGAUGGGCUUUCGGCUGUACUUUACAGACUAUAUGGGAGAGUCAAUAUUCAGUGGUAACCCCGAUGCCCUUGACGGUUCUCCAGUUAAAAGAGCAUAUGAAGAAGGUAUUCGUAUGGGGAGCUUCGGCCUUCUCCUCCAUAGCAUAAUCUCUGCCGUGUUCUCAGUCGCCAUUGGCGCUGUUAUCACGACGUGGGGUGCCGUCCGGACCUACAUAUUUGGCAUGGUACUGUUCACACUAGCAACAUUCUUCAUGCUCUUCAUGGACGGGAUCGUGUUCACACUUCUCCUCGCGAGUCUGACGGGCUUCGCCAACGCUACCAUCACCACAGUGCCAUAUACGCUUCUAACGGGCUACCACCAAAAGAAAGAAUUGUACUACCAAGACAGCGAUGAUGCGGAUGCCCAUGGCAAGGGUGCGGAUCUAGCCCUCCUUGACAGCGCUUACAUCCUCUCCGAGGUCAUCUCGUCAUUCGCCUUCGGUGUGAUCGUCGAGAUCACCAAGACGACUGGAGCGUACAUUGCCUGCUCGUUCGCUUGUGGCCUUGCGAGCUGUUUCCUCGUACUACGAAUCAAAUAGUACUUGUGCUAUGUUACCAAACCUAACUGUUGUUUGUUUUUGUUGUUGUUCAGGAUGGGGAUUUCUUGAAUGCAAGAGGAAGAGCGGGAGAGAAGGGGGAGAGUGAGAGAGAGAGAAAGAGGGGGAGAGAGAGAGGGAGAGAGAGAGAGAGGCAAAAAAUAGAUGUUCAUCUUCAUCAAGUUGAAUUGAUUAGGUACAUGUAUUUCAUUUUGGUUUGUCUUGAUAUGGUCAACUGGUAGAAAUCAUGAUAGUCAAAAGUAAUUUUCAUAUUUUUACAUCCCUGGUCCAGAUGAUCUAAUCCUAUUUUGUAGACCUGCCAACCAGUACGUUUUAGCCGUAUUUAAAAGUUAAGGGUUAGACAGCAAUUUUGACAGCUGGAAACAGGUGGUGGUCAUAAAAUGCUCUUGUUGAAUGUCCAUUCGUAAUAGGUCCAUGGUCUUACAACCUGUUUGUCUUCUAUCAGUUCGUACAUGUAUGAAUCAUUUGGUCUCAUUGCCACUUUACCAUUUUGUCUAAAUAAUUGCCAUUUUAUAGGCUAUACUAAUUUCUUGGAUGACCUUGUUGGUCAACUCGUACUGGUAGAUGAAUUUUCAUAAACCAACGUAAUUUGACAAAGUGGAAGGAAACAAACUAUACAAAUUUUAGUCUAAGUGACAGGUAGACCAAAUGGGUUUAUCUAAUAAUGCGGUAUUUAUCUUUAGACAAUCUGAGAAGUGAGUGUAAACAAUGCGGAUAUAAACUUCAGAUUUUAGUCUGAAAAAAAAAUGUUUUUUUAAAGAAAGAACCUAUAUCCUGUAUGCUGUGCUAUUUUUAAGUCAGUACCGUAUUGGGAAAGUUAAGCCUUUAUAAGCUGCAUUAAUGGCAUAAAAAUGUGUUUUUAUUUCUUUUUUUAUACACCUGUACUCGUUGAAUGAAGUAUUUCCCCCCUCUCCUAUCAGAGGAGAACAUUCUACUACUGAGUAUUGAUUAAUGAGAUGUGUAAUUUUAUAUAGGUUUUAUCAAUUUAUGAUUUUUUUUCUUCUUUUUAAAACACUAAUACUAGGCCCUCCCACAUACAUUUACAUGUCAUGCAUUCGCCCAUACAUGUGUAUAUCUUCUGCAUAUACACAUAUAAAUACAUAAAACAAUUUUAUAACAAUGUACAUGUAUAAAAUAAAAAAAAUAAAGAAAGUGAGGAAAGUAAUGACCAAAAAGGUAGAAGCUUAUGAAAAUAUAAAAAUUAAAAUAUUAAUAAUAAUAGUCAUGAACACAAUCAUGAUACACCAUAAAAUCACAAUGAUUAC